GACGAACGCUGGCGGCGUGCCUAAUACAUGCCAGUAGAACGCUGAAGGCGGAUCUUGCUUCUCUGGAUGAGUUGCGAACGGGUGAGUAACGCGUAGGUAACCUGCCUGGUAGCGGGGGAUAACUAUUGGAAACGAUAGCUCAUACCGCAUAAGAGUAGAUGUUUCAUGACAUUUGCUUAAAAGUUGCACUUGCAUCUCUACCAGAUGGACCUGCGUUGUAUUAGCUAGUUGGGGGGGUAACGGCUUACCAAGGCGACGAUACAUAGAAGACUUGAGAGGGGGAUCGGCAAAACUGGGACGGAGACACGACCCAGACUACUGCGAGAGAGAGCAGGAGGAAAUCCUUGGGAAUGGAAGCAAGUCGGACCAAGCAACGCCGGGUGAGAGAAGAAGGUUGUCAGAUCGUGAAGAUCUGGAGGAAGAGAAGAACGAAAAGGAGAGUGAAAAGUGCAAAUUGUGACGGUACCUUGCCAGAAAGGUACGGCUAACUCCGUG
This 495-nucleotide ribosomal RNA is filed under the name uncultured bacterium. RNAcentral describes it as "partial 16S ribosomal RNA". It matches the Rfam family "Bacterial small subunit ribosomal RNA", at positions 28 to 507 of the family's 1533-position model. The record is from RNAcentral.